Long non-coding RNA from Apis laboriosa (Himalayan honeybee), 414 nucleotides. RefSeq lists it as uncharacterized. The transcript is spliced from 3 exons. NCBI's taxonomy places the organism in Eukaryota, Metazoa, Arthropoda, Insecta, Hymenoptera, Apidae. The record is from RefSeq and is a predicted model, not a curated record.
GGGCGAUGCAACGCGCGCCACAAGGGGAACCCCGCGAAAAUUAGAGAUGCGUGCGCAUCACGCGCCUCCAUCUGAGCCGACGCGUAAAGCUUCGUUCACAAUACGCUUCGCAGUUGAUCCCUGGGAUGGAGAUAUAAUAAAUGUUGCCAAUGAGCAAUGCAAAUAGAUCGAAAGGACCACAUUACAUGACUGGAAUUUAUUUGAUGAUGAAAUUUUCCAAAUAUUUUCAUAUAAGAACUUUAUAAUAAGAACCACUGUUGACAGGAACAAGUAAAUUUGGAAAUGAUGCUUCCUCGAUGGAGAAGAUUAAUUAAGAUUAAUUUGAAGAAGAUAUCAUUCCCCAAGAAUUUUUAAUUUGCUCAUUAUGAACAUCAUUUUAAAAUACCAAUUUAUAAUAUAAGAUUAAAGAGAAAU